UUGGGUGGAAAAACUAUCUUGUUUGAAACAAUAAUGCAAUCAAACUCCAAUUCAAAGGCAACACUAUAGUUUACUUCAGACCAUGGAACAUAGAGCAAAUACUGUAUCAGUAAAAAGCUUUUUUCUUCCAGAACUGUCACACAUAUAAUAAUAGAUAAUAUGCUCCUUCUUUAAAUUACUGUAUAAAGGAUAUUAAGAGUGACCUUGGAGUUCUAUAUCUCUAAUAAAAGCACUUGGCCUGCGGCUUUGAGUCUUUAUACUUUUGUGGAACAUGACUUCUAAUAUUCUUAUAAUUUACAGUUGGGAGUCAUUAUCACAUAUGUCAAUGGCUUGGGAAAACAUUUCAUAUUACACUCAUAGCAGAUAUAAAUGUAUGAAAUACAUAGCAAUAAGCACCUGCUCUGAGUUCUAGGAAAUUACUAGAACUAUCCUUAGUUUGAUGGCUAGUAAUUGUCUCUUUCUGUCAUCUUUGGCUCCUUGAGUGCGUGUCUUGCCUGGUGCAGGAGUAGGAUUUGGGUAUGAACAGCUCCAGACUUGAGCUUUUUUUUAUCUGGGAUAAUCUGGUCUCAGGUAUUUUAAAUUACUUGCAGCUCUUUGCAUCCAGGAAGAAAAAUGACUCAAACCAUUGCACAAACUGGAUGGGAACAGCAAGAGAACUACGUGGCCCAAUAUGGAAACGCCGUAAAGGAAAUGAAGAAAAGCUUAGUGGUCACAGUAGUAGAUACAGGUGAUCUCCUUUAGGCAAGGCCUUUGCAGUUUUCAUUUGGUUUCUCUGCAUAGAAGAUCCCAUGGAGGAAACUCUUCCUGUGGACUCAAAAAGUCUUUUGGCUUUCUGCUACCUUCUUUGGAGCCACUUUUGAAUCUUUUCACUAGUCUGCAGGACCAACCUGAGGAGCAGAACCUGACCAAUUCCAGGAAAUCACACCCAGCUGAAGAUGAAGCUUUUCUCAGAGUUCAGCCUAAGAAAUUAUGAGAAACAAAAGACAUUCUUACACAAAUUUAUUUUGACUAAUUCUCCUCAACAUAGGUCUCUGAUUCUUUCUUAAAAAUGUGCUUUGUGUACUGUAUCUCAUACCUUACUGGUACCACUAAUCAAUAUAACUAAAUUAUAUUAAUACAGAACAGAGCCUCGCUUCUCUUUAUUUACCAUUUUAACUAUGAUUGUUUAAAUGUUACAUUUUUGACAUCAGAGAGUUCUGGGGUAGUCUGCAAUAGUGUCAAAUAAUUAAGCAGCUGUGAUAAAAACAUUAGUGUUGUAGAGGGGUGUAGUCCCACCACUAAUUGUACGUCCUUUCUCUCUUCUCAUUCUAAUUAACCCCUUAUGGGGUCCUGCUCCCUCUAUUUAAUUCUCCUAAGCCUUCAGAGAUAGAUUAAGACCAAAUGUCUUAAAUGUAGCUCAAGUC
Xenopus tropicalis (tropical clawed frog) is the source of this 1403-nucleotide long non-coding RNA. RefSeq lists it as uncharacterized. NCBI's taxonomy places the organism in Eukaryota, Metazoa, Chordata, Amphibia, Anura, Pipidae. The record is from RefSeq and is a predicted model, not a curated record. The transcript has 3 exons.